RNAcentral lists this ribosomal RNA (406 nucleotides) under uncultured bacterium. RNAcentral's name for it is "partial 16S ribosomal RNA". It matches the Rfam family "Bacterial small subunit ribosomal RNA", at positions 30 to 526 of the family's 1533-position model. The record is from RNAcentral.
AUUGAACGCUGGCGGCAGGCUUAACACCUGCAAGUCGAGCGAGCGGCGGACGGGUGAGUAAUGUCUGGGAAACUGCCUGAUGGAGGGGGAUAACUUCUGGACACGGUAGAUAACACCGCAUUCCAUCAGAUGUUCCCAGAUGGGUUUAUCUAGUUGGUGGGGUAAUGGCUCACCUAGGCGACGAUCCCUCGCUGGUCUGAGAGGAGGACCAGCCACACUGGUGCUGAGACACGGUCCGGACGCCUGCGAGAGGCAGCAGUGGGGAAUAGUGCACAAUGGGCGCAAGCCUGUUACAGCCAGGCCGCGUGUGUGAAGAAGGCCAUCGGGUUGUAAAGCACUUUCAUCGAGGAGGCGUUACUCGCAUAAGAAGCACCGGCUAACUCCGUGCCAGCAGCCGCGGUAAUUC